This is a small nuclear RNA of Oncorhynchus tshawytscha (Chinook salmon), 200 nucleotides long. RefSeq annotates it as U2 spliceosomal RNA. The record is from RefSeq and is a predicted model, not a curated record. The transcript has a single exon. Lineage: Eukaryota; Metazoa; Chordata; Actinopteri; Salmoniformes; Salmonidae.
UUAUUGUUUGGUUUUUGGCUAAGAUCAUAGUGUAGUAAAAAAAAAAAAAGUUCUUAUCAGUUUAAUAUCUGAUACGUCCCCCCAUCGGGGGACUACAUAUUAAAUGGAUUUUUCGAACAGGGAGUCGGAAAUGGGGCUUGCUCCGUCCGCUCCACGCAUCGACCCGGUAUUGCAGUACCUCCGGGAACGGUGCAACACUU